RNAcentral lists this long non-coding RNA (1041 nucleotides) under Homo sapiens (human). RNAcentral's name for it is "non-protein coding lnc-LIMA1-3:3". Lineage: Eukaryota; Metazoa; Chordata; Mammalia; Primates; Hominidae. The record is from RNAcentral.
CCUUAUAGCUGCCAUUGGCUCAGAACUUGCUCAGUGUGCCUGUGCAUCUUGCUGUAGCUACUGGACAUCUCUGUUCUCUCCUGCUUUUCUUUCCUGACUAGGUGACCUGUCCAGGAAGGAUUAGACCCUGUACUCUCCACUCUUUCCUCACCUCCUUCCUUUUUUCUAUGCCUGGCGGGAGCUGGACAGUUUCAUCUCUUGCAUGUAUCGAAGGAUGAUCGCAGUGAUGUGGAGAGCAGCUCAGAGGAAGAAGAUGUGACCACCUGCACAAAAAGUCCCUGUGACAGUAGCUCCAGCAAUGGUGCCAAUCGGGUGAAUGGUCACAUGGGAGGCAGCUACUGGGCUGAAGAGUAAGGUGGUUGCUAUAGGGACUUCAGCACACAUGGACUUGUAGGGCCACUGGCAACAUACUCCUCUUGGCCCUUCCCAUAUCUACUCUUCUGUGAUUGGGAGACUGCAAGGCACUGAGGAGUAUCAAAGAAGCAAAUAUUUUCACUUUGAAAGAAAACUGCCAUUUUGUAUUUAAUAGCCUCCAGGUUCUUUCAGUAAUGUUAUUUGCUCUGUGUGUUUUUGUGUGUUUGUUGAUGUGCGUUUGUGCAUAUGCGUGAGUUUCAUUGCCGGGGUUGGGGCACAAUUGUGGACUGGGGCCAUGAGGCCUUCCCUGGUCCCCACUGAACCCACCUUAGUUCCACAUUUGGCUGCAUCUUGAAUUAUGCCAACUCCAGACUUCUCCUUCUUUUUUGCCCUUGGCUCUUGACACUCUAAACCCCUGGACCAUCUGAAUGGAGCAGCCAAGUUCAGUCCCACAUUUCUGUACUGUUCCUCUUUCACAGCUGGAAUAUGUCACAUGAUGAAGUUGUAUAGAAACAGAACCAUGGAUGGAUGGCCAGGAUUGCCGUGGUCCCUAGCUAGAUCCCCUUCCUAUCAAUCACCUGAUAGCAACAGGGACAGCUGCCAAUACCCUGCUCUUUACUCAAUGGUACCCAGGGAGGGAGCAUGGGAAGAGGGUGAGCUGAGGGCUGGAGGAGGGCAACAGCCACU